UUUAAGGGGGGGGUACACAUGAAAUCAUUUGAAAAAAUCGAUUUUCAUUUUUUGAGCUAAAUAGUUACUGUGGCAUGUAAUUGAUGUUGUGAAAGUAUUUAUUUGCUUGAAUUUAAAAAAUUGUUCUGUCAGGAGCUGUUUUUAACCACCUCACUAUAAUUUUUAGCUUGGUUUCCAUGGUAACGAAAGGCAGAAUCCUUCAUAUUUUUCAUGUUUUUACCAAUAUACUGCUGUCCCUCCCCUCCCUAAUAUAAAAUAAUGAUACAGGCUCAUCUCUAGAUGAUUUUGCAGCGGAUUUACGUGGCGAUUAUGCGCAUAGAUGCAUUUUUUGAGAACUGGUGAUUCAAACAGAACAAACUCGAAAAUGUGUUUCAAUAUUUAAUAAAUAUUGAUCACUUUUGUGUAUAUAUUUCUUAACAUAUGGUUAAAAAUAACUAAUAAUGGUUCACAGAAAACAUUAAAACGAAACUUUAUUCACUGGGGUGAAGAAAUGCGCUAUAAAGACGACGAUAAAACGUGAACACAUUCAGGCAAUAAUCGGGCAUUAUUCAAUUGGCAUUCAAUGCCAAAUAUCAACAGUCAUCUUCGAUUUGGAUUCUUGGACGUCUUAUAAACAGAUCUUCAAACGUUUAUUCUGCUGAACUUAAAAGUUGUGGAUGUAAGUAUUUUUCUAUCAUUGAAUGAUUGAUUCUAGUAUACAAUAACUCAAAAAUGUUAAUAAUAUAAUUAGUAAUUAUUGCAUAUUUGCAAUAUUAUGAUAUCAAGAGAUCGAUUUUCUCUACCCAAUUUUGGUACAGAUAUCAAUACAUUAUUUCUUGCUUCAUUGUUAUAAUUUUACUAUUUUAAUGCUUCUUGGUAUUAAUAUUAAUGAGGUUGUUUCUGUACUGCAUUUUAGGUACUGUAAUUACAUGUCAAGGUGUACCAAGUCUGUCAGUCUGAGAGCUUGUUUUGGGCUGAAUAUGUUUACCGAGUGUACCACUUGCAGCAAUAGGACAAGAAUACAGUUACAGACAAUGUUAUCUUACAAAAUCAUGUAAUUUGGUAUUGACAAUUGAUUCACAUAUACAAAAAACUGUGGUAAAUGUUGGUCUGCAUGUUCCUUUGGUAAGCACGAUGAGUGGAGUGUGCAUCUUUAAACAUCCUUAUUACCAGCAAGAGGGUUCGGCAAAGAAAACUAUGGAAAAUUUAGCUAUACCAAUAGAGUCAUUUAAGUUAACACACAGGAACAUCUUUUAAACCAAACAUCAAACUGCAGGAAAAACUAAGUUUGCUCUUAAAAGACAAGAAACAGGUCAGAAAGUCUAACCGCCAGACAUCUGAAAUAAACAACAGACGUCGACAGGUGGAGCAGCUCCAAAAGAAAACCGAGAGAAGAAGCUCUAUGAGAAGCAGAAGGGACAACCUAUGAGGCUGGAGGCUUCUGAAGUGCUAAAAGUACUUCUAAUGACAAAAAAUUAGGCUAAAGUCCCUGAAACCUGUCAGGAACAGCUCGAACAGUUGUUUAAAAACUUUAACACUUGUUUUCUCGGAAUGUACAUUUUCCGUCUUUGAGAAAAGAUAUCUCAUGAUGUAUUUAACCAAUUGUCCUGAAAUUUUCAGGGCUUAUUCUUUUAUUAGAGCUGUCUUAAUUAAGCAUAGGAAAUUUCUGUAUCUUGUGUAGAAUACAUUUUAUGGCAAAAAAUAUUAUCGAAAAAACCUAUGUUAACUUUGUACCUCUGCUGUGACCACUAGAUUUAUCAUACAAAAAAGUUCUAUGCUCAUUUAAGAUAAUGAUGCCUAUACUACUUACUGAUAAAAUUUCUUAAAAUUCCAAGCAAUUUAUAAGCAGAUAUCUUUUCUCAAAUGCACCCUAGUUUUGCACAGCAUGUGGUAUGAUUGCCGGCCUGGUGUCAGGUUACAAAGGACGUUAGGUACUAGUGAUUAGUAUUUUUAGUUUCUAUAGGUCAUAAGCUUUCUACUGAUAUAUAGUUUGUCAUAACUCUGGUGAAUAUCUUUAAAAUUACAGCCAUUUCAAAAAUGGCCAUCAAUCCAUGUGUACCCCCCCCUUAAGUCGCCUAAUGUUAUUAGAUCGAAAAAUAUUUAUGUAUAGAGUUUAAAUAAACGUUCAGUUUUUCAGAACUUUUGCAGUGGUCUAAACUUUCGAAGGGGGGGGGGGGGCAAAAUUUUUAUGGAUUUCGGAUGCGAGCGCCAUAGGCAUAGGCACGAGGAAAAUUUUGAAUUUCUAGAUUCAUUAGGAUGCUAUUUCACGUAUUUUAGGACGAGGUUUGAAGAACAGUUACAAC
This 2282-nucleotide long non-coding RNA is filed under the name Paramuricea clavata. Lineage: Eukaryota; Metazoa; Cnidaria; Anthozoa; Malacalcyonacea; Plexauridae. The record is from RNAcentral.